Molecule: ribosomal RNA, 30 nt
Filed under: Lachnella villosa
Lineage: Eukaryota; Fungi; Basidiomycota; Agaricomycetes; Agaricales; Niaceae
Description: partial 28S large subunit ribosomal RNA
Source: RNAcentral
AAUUGUGACCUCAAAUCAGAGGGAUUACCC